Molecule: transfer RNA, 85 nt
Filed under: Felis catus (domestic cat)
Lineage: Eukaryota; Metazoa; Chordata; Mammalia; Carnivora; Felidae
Rfam family: tRNA
About the family: Transfer RNA (tRNA) molecules are approximately 80 nucleotides in length. Their secondary structure includes four short double-helical elements and three loops (D, anti-codon, and T loops).
Source: Rfam by way of RNAcentral
GCCUGAAUGGCUCAGGUGGUUAAGUAUCUGACUUCGGCUCAGGUCAUGAUCUCGUAGUCCAUGAGUUCAAGCCUCAUUUAAGGCU